This 253-nucleotide ribosomal RNA is filed under the name uncultured bacterium. RNAcentral's name for it is "partial 16S ribosomal RNA". It matches the Rfam family "Bacterial small subunit ribosomal RNA", at positions 524 to 776 of the family's 1533-position model. The record is from RNAcentral.
UACAGGGGGUGCAAGCGUUAUUCGGAAUUACUGGGCGUAAAGCGCGUGUAGGUGGUUUAGUCAGUCUGAUGUGAAAUCCCCGGGCUCAAUCCGGGAAGUGCAUUAGAUACUACUAGACUAGAGUGCAGGAGAGGUAAGCGGAAUUCCUGGUGUAGAGGUGAAAUUCGUAGAUAUCAGGAGGAACAACAGUGGCGAAGGCGGCUUACUGGACUGCAACUGACGCUAAGGCGCGAAAGUGUGGGGAGCAAACAGG